RNAcentral lists this ribosomal RNA (501 nucleotides) under uncultured bacterium. RNAcentral's name for it is "partial 16S ribosomal RNA". It matches the Rfam family "Bacterial small subunit ribosomal RNA", at positions 30 to 523 of the family's 1533-position model. The record is from RNAcentral.
AUUGAACGCUGGCGGCAGGCUUAACACAUGCAAGUCGAGCGGGGGAAGGUAGCUUGCUACCGGACCUAGCGGCGGACGGGUGAGUAAUGCUUAGGAAUCUGCCUAUUAGUGGGGGACAACAUCUCGAAAGGGAUGCUAAUACCGCAUACGUCCUACGGGAGAAAGCAGGGGAUCUUCGGACCUUGCGCUAAUAGAUGAGCCUAAGUCGGAUUAGCUAGUUGGUGGGGUAAAGGCCUACCAAGGCGACGGUCUGUAGCGGGUCUGAGAGGAUGAGCCGCCACACUGGGACUGAGACACGGCCCAGACUCCUACGGGAGGCAGCAGUGGGGAAUAUUGGAAAAUGGGGGGAACCCUGAUCCAGCCAUGCCGCGUGUGUGAAGAAGGCCUUAUGGUUGUAAAGCACUUUAAGCGAGGAGGAGGCUACUUUAGUUAAUACCUAGGGAUAGUGGACGUUACUCGCAGAAUAAGCACCGGCUAACUCUGUGCCAGCCGCCGCCGUAA